AUUGAACGCUGGCGGCAGGCCUAACACAUGCAAGUCGAGCGGCAGCGGGAAAGUAGCUUGCUACUUUUGCCGGCGAGCGGCGGACGGGUGAGUAAUGCCUGGGAAAUUGCCCAGUCGAGGGGGAUAACAGUGGGAAACGACUGCUAAUACCGCAUAGGCCCUACGGGGGAAAGCAGGGGACCUUCGGGCCUUGCGCGAUUGGAUAUGCCCAGGUGGGAUUAGCUAGUUGGUGAGGUAAUGGCUCACCAAGGCGACGAUCCCUAGCUGGUCUGAGAGGAUGAUCAGCCACACUGGAACUGAGACACGGUCCAGACUCCUACGGGAGGCAGCAGUGGGGAAUAUUGCACAAUGGGGGAAACCCUGAUGCAGCCAUGCCGCGUGUGUGAAGAAGGCCUUCGGGUUGUAAAGCACUUUCAGCGAGGAGGAAAGGUUGAUGCCUAAUACGUAUCAACUGUGACGUUACUCGCAGAAGAAGCACCGGCUAACUCCGUGCCAGCAGCCGCGGUAA
Molecule: ribosomal RNA, 508 nt
Filed under: uncultured bacterium
Lineage: Bacteria
Description: partial 16S ribosomal RNA
Rfam family: Bacterial small subunit ribosomal RNA
Source: RNAcentral